Molecule: non-coding RNA, 75 nt
Organism: Rhamnusium bicolor
Lineage: Eukaryota; Metazoa; Arthropoda; Insecta; Coleoptera; Cerambycidae
Source: the annotation of a GenBank genome assembly
ACAGCUGAGUGGGUAAAGCACUUAAUGUUAUUUACUCAGUACCAAUGGUCGAUGGUUCGAUUCCAUCCUGGAGCA